RNAcentral lists this ribosomal RNA (496 nucleotides) under uncultured bacterium. RNAcentral describes it as "partial 16S ribosomal RNA". It matches the Rfam family "Bacterial small subunit ribosomal RNA", at positions 29 to 507 of the family's 1533-position model. The record is from RNAcentral.
AUGAACGCUGGCGGCGUGCCUAAUACAUGCCAGUCGAGCUAACAGACGAGGAGCUUGCUCCUCUGACGUUAGCGGCGGACGGGUGAGUAACACGUGGAUAACCUACCUAUAAGACUGGGAUAACUUCGGGAAACCGGAGCUAAUACCGGAUAAUAUAUUGAACCGCAUGGUUCAAUAGUGAAAGACGGUUUUGCUGUCACUUAUAGAUGGAUCCGCGCCGCAUUAGCUAGUUGGUAAGGUAACGGCUUACCAAGGCAACGAUGCGUAGCCGACCUGAGAGGGUGAUCGGCCACACUGGAACUGAGACACGGUCCAGACUCCUACGGGAGGCAGCAGUAGGGAAUCUUCCGCAAUGGGCGAAAGCUUGACGGAGCAACGCCGCGUGAGUGAUGAAGGUCUUCGGAUCGUAAAACUCUGUUAUUAGGGAAGAACAAAUGUGUAAGUAACUAUGCACGUCUUGACGGUACCUAAUCAGAAAGCCACGGCUAACUACGUG